This 385-nucleotide ribosomal RNA is filed under the name Citrobacter sp. Cb130. RNAcentral's name for it is "bacterial SSU rRNA". It matches the Rfam family "Bacterial small subunit ribosomal RNA", at positions 1 to 382 of the family's 1533-position model. Lineage: Bacteria; Pseudomonadati; Pseudomonadota; Gammaproteobacteria; Enterobacterales; Enterobacteriaceae. The record is from RNAcentral.
AAAUUGAAGAGUUUGAUCAUGGCUCAGAUUGAACGCUGGCGGCAGGCCUAACACAUGCAAGUCGAACGGUAGCACAGAGGAGCUUGCUCCUUGGGUGACGAGUGGCGGACGGGUGAGUAAUGUCUGGGAAACUGCCCGAUGGAGGGGGAUAACUACUGGAAACGGUAGCUAAUACCGCAUAACGUCGCAAGACCAAAGAGGGGGACCUUCGGGCCUCUUGCCAUCGGAUGUGCCCAGAUGGGAUUAGCUAGUAGGUGGGGUAACGGCUCACCUAGGCGACGAUCCCUAGCUGGUCUGAGAGGAUGACCAGCCACACUGGAACUGAGACACGGUCCAGACUCCUACGGGAGGCAGCAGUGGGGAAUAUUGCACAAUGGGCGCAAGC